Hordeum vulgare subsp. vulgare (domesticated barley) is the source of this 116-nucleotide non-coding RNA. The record is from Rfam. NCBI's taxonomy places the organism in Eukaryota, Viridiplantae, Streptophyta, Magnoliopsida, Poales, Poaceae.
GCGACGGGGGCGGUUCGCCGCCCCCGACGUCGCGAGAAGUCCAUUGAACCUUAUCAUUUAGAGGAAGGAGAAGUCGUAACAAGGUUUCCGUAGGUGAACCUGCGGAAGGAUCAUUG